GCCCCCAUAGCUCAAGGGAUAGAGCAGCAGCCUUCUAAGCUGAGAGUUCCAGGUUCAAAUCCUGGUGGGGGCG
Molecule: transfer RNA, 73 nt
Filed under: Coleofasciculus chthonoplastes PCC 7420
Lineage: Bacteria; Bacillati; Cyanobacteriota; Cyanophyceae; Coleofasciculales; Coleofasciculaceae
Also listed under: 4 other names
Description: Microcoleus chthonoplastes PCC 7420 tRNA
Rfam family: tRNA
About the family: Transfer RNA (tRNA) molecules are approximately 80 nucleotides in length. Their secondary structure includes four short double-helical elements and three loops (D, anti-codon, and T loops).
Source: Rfam by way of RNAcentral